UGACCCCGUGCGGGAGAGCUCUUCGGUGGCAGCACCGGAGGCGCCGAAGGAGCAACUCCUCCCCGGAAUCUCUCAGGCCCAUGUACCGCACGGACGAG
Regulatory RNA element from Streptomyces alboflavus, 98 nucleotides. It matches the Rfam family "Glycine riboswitch aptamer". From Rfam's summary of the family: This family represents the bacterial glycine riboswitch. Glycine riboswitches usually consist of two metabolite-binding aptamers domains with similar structures in tandem. The aptamers cooperatively bind glycine to regulate the expression of downstream genes. Lineage: Bacteria; Bacillati; Actinomycetota; Actinomycetes; Kitasatosporales; Streptomycetaceae. The record is from Rfam.